Molecule: ribosomal RNA, 468 nt
Filed under: uncultured bacterium
Lineage: Bacteria
Description: partial 16S ribosomal RNA
Rfam family: Bacterial small subunit ribosomal RNA
Source: RNAcentral
GACGAACGCUGGCGGCGGGCUUAACACAUGCAAGUCGAACGGAAAGGCCCUGCUUUUGUGGGGUGCUCGAGUGGCGAACGGGUGAGUAACACGUGAGUAACCUGCCCUUGACUUUGGGAUAACUUCAGGAAACUGGGGCUAAUACCGGAUAGGAGCUCCUGCUGCAUGGUGGGGGUUGGAAAGUUUCGGCGGUUGGGGAUGGACUCGCGGCUUAUCAGCUUGUUGGUUGGGGAGUGGCUUACCAAGGCUUUGACGGGUAGCCGGCCUGAGAGGGUGACCGGCCACAUUGCGACUGAGAGACGGCGCAGACGCCUACGGGAGGCAGCAGGGGGGAAUAUUGCACAAUGGGCGGAAGCCUGAUGCAGAAACGCUGCGUGCGGGAUGACGGCCUGCGGGUUGUAAACCGCUUUCGCCUGUGACGAAGCGUGAGUGACGGUAAUGGGUAAAGAAGCACCGGCUAACUACGUG